RNAcentral lists this small RNA (673 nucleotides) under Pan troglodytes (chimpanzee). RNAcentral describes it as "retained intron". Lineage: Eukaryota; Metazoa; Chordata; Mammalia; Primates; Hominidae. The record is from RNAcentral.
GGCCAGGCAGCUCCCCGGCAGCCAGGGGACGGGCGGGGCAGGCAGGAUGGGCCAUGCCCUCCUCCUGGCCCAGGACUCACUGCCCAGACCCCGCCUGCAGAAGAUCAUGCACACCCGGAAGCGGCACCAAGACAUGUUCCAGGACCUGAACCGGAAGCUGCAGCACGCAGCGGAGAAGGACAAGGAGGUGCUGGGGCCGGACAGCAAGCCGGAAAAGCAGCAGACGCCCAACAAGAGGCCCUGGGAGAGCCUCCGGAAAGCCCACGGGACGCCCACGUGGGUGAAGAAGGAGCUGGAGCCGCUGCAGCCGUCGCCGCUGGAGCUUCGCAGCGUGGAGUGGGAGAGGUCGGGCGCCACGAUCCCGCUGGUGGGCCAGGACAUCAUCGACCUCCAGACCGAGGUCUGAGCGGGUGGGCGGCGGCCACGCACUGGGCCAUGGAGGAGGGAUGCUGCUCCGCCCGCUCCUGCCGCAGACGGGCACAGACACGCUCGCGGGCGGCGGGCCAGGCCCGCACCCCGGCCUCAGGGCGCUCAGACGGCGGCCAGGCACAGGGCCCGCAGUGCUGGGACCAGAGCCAGAUGCAGGACAGGAGGCGGCCCGGCCAGCGGGCACAGGGCACCAGAGGCCGAAGGUGCCUCAGACUCUGCCCUCCUCGGGCCGAGGCCCAGCGGG